Molecule: transfer RNA, 70 nt
Filed under: Lottia goshimai
Lineage: Eukaryota; Metazoa; Mollusca; Gastropoda; Lottiidae
Description: tRNA-His
Source: RNAcentral
GUGAAUCUAGUUUUAAAAAAAACAUUAGUUUGUGGAACUAAAGACAGUGUGAUUAGUGCACUGAUUCACU